RNAcentral lists this ribosomal RNA (440 nucleotides) under uncultured bacterium. RNAcentral's name for it is "partial 16S ribosomal RNA". It matches the Rfam family "Bacterial small subunit ribosomal RNA", at positions 338 to 795 of the family's 1533-position model. The record is from RNAcentral.
CCUACGGGUGGCUGCAGUGGGGAAUAUUGCACAAUGGGGGAAACCCUGAUGCAGCGACGCCGCGUGAGCGAGGAAGUAUUUCGGUAUGUAAAGCUCUGUCAGCAGGAACGAUAAUGACGGUACCUGAAGAAGAAGCCCCGGCUAACUACGUGCCAGCAGCCGCGGUAAUACGUAGGGGGCAAGCGUUAUCCGGAUUUACUGGGUGUAAAGGGAGCGUAGACGGCGGGGCAAGUCUGGAGUGAAAGGCCGGGGCCCAACCCCGGGACCGCUCGGGAAACUGCCGGGCUGGAGUGCGGGAGAGGUAAGCGGAAUUUCUAGUGUAGCGGUGAAAUGCGUAGAUAUUAGGAGGAACACCAGCGGCGAAGGCGGCUUACUGGACCGUGACUGACGUUGAGGCUCGAAAGCGUGGGGAGCAAACAGGAUUAGAUACCCUAGUAGUC